CUGGAUCGAUGCUGUAACCUGUGCUGUCAGUUCUGUCUGGACAGCUGCUGUGCGAUCUGUUCGGACGACUGUAGCUACACUGUGUGUUUCCUGUGCACACGGAUGGCACACGCCUGCGCUGCAGUCUUCAACACAGAGCAGUCCACGUCUACACAGAGAUGAGAAGGUUUUCAUUUAAAAUGAAGACAGCUGGAUUGUGUCACACGGAGUUUACAUCUGAAGACUUUAAUGGGAUCUAAAGGGCAAGCUGGGGACCUGUUUAAGUUGGCGAAAGCAUUUUCUGUAUACCAAGAGAUUGGGAAAACAUCACAAUUGUUUUACAGAUGUACUACCACUGUUAAUACAGGCCAUGAUGCAUUGUGUAUAUGGAUUGUGCUUUCAAUUCUAUCACACAAUGAAUGUAUUGUAAUAGAAAAUAAAAGUGAUUCUAUAUAGACGAUUUUAUCGGACACACGCGCGUUGUGGCGAAAAUACCAAAUAUGUUAGUUUCCUAAAGACGAGGGGAGAUGACAAUAAUGGAUCACUGCUACGUAAAAGGAGAUUUGGCAGCCGAUCUGUAGUUAACAUAGUAUACGUUUAACAUUAGCUCAAUGUAGUUUCGGUUUUGAACUAAGGUCAUCUACAUGUACUUGUUAUUUAUUUUGCUUGUUAUCAGAAGUAAACUACUCUAAAACGACUCUGUUGUUAUUGAUUCUUUGUGGAAGUUUACCGGAAGUUACUUUUGUUUUACGAAAGCUGUUUGUUUAUGUUGUUACUGCUGAAACGUCUAUAAACUGACGUUGGUCUAGACCAGUGGUCACCAACCCUGUUCCUGCAGAGUUCACAUCCAUCCCUAAUCAAACACACCUGAACCUGCUAAUCAAGCUGUUUACGGCUAUACCCAAAAAUGAGAGGCAGGUGUGCUGAAUCAGGGUUGGAUCUAAAGGCUAAAUCAAAUGACUCCACAUUUUCUCAGAGGACAAGCAGGAAAAACUUGCCUUACACACCCUGUGAAACGUGCUGUCAGAGGUAGAGUAUUUAUAUUUCAGAGUCCGCCCAGGCGUGUGUCAUAUCAGCCCUGACAAUCUCAUGACAAGGAUAUACGUUUGGAAGUUGAACUAACUAUGGUUUUUACAAGAUGAAAAGAAGCUCCCAGCUUCAAAAGCGAGAACAGUGAAGGACUGAAGAAAAGACGAUUGAAGAACAAAACAGAAGUCUUGCACUUGGAAAAGGUAAGGUCUGAUCUGGUAGACUGAGCCAUGGAGGAUUACAGAAAAGAGCCACCGCCGGACUAUUCUGAGGUUGUUACGCAGCAACACACCAGCAAUACCAACCAGAGCUCUCCUGAUAAGUCGCAGGGAGGAGGUUGCAAGAGAUGCUGCAUGAGUACCAAGAGAUGUCUGAUGAGUCCUGAGUGCGGCCGGUGUCUUAAUAUCGCCAGCGUUGUUGCCAUGUGCGGCAUGUGUAUCCGAAUGUUUGUGUAGCUCCUGCAGAUCUCUAAUACAGUCGUGUCCUACUCAAAUUAAAAGAGAAACAAAGACAUUUGCUCUUUUCCAAAACCUGUAACAUUUAUAAACCUUACAUACAAGUCAGUUUCAUACAGCAUUACACAUCAAUGUAUCCAUGUGUUUGUUCACAGAUAAGGUAAUCCAAAAAUCUAUCAGAUUAAUUCAAAAUGGCAGAUGACAUAGAAAUCUGUAGACCGCAAACAAAGAUGCAGUGAAGCAGCUACUGCUGUAGGUUUUUGGACUGAACUAGUAUAAUUUCCUUAGUAAGUGCAAUAGAAAUGAAUUCCCCUUAUUCUCAUAAUUAAGCUUCAUGACGACAACAGUGUUUUAUAUGAAAAUUACAAUGAAUUAAGUUAUUUUAAAUCAAAAUUAGGUUCAGAAAUGGUCCCAAGUUGUCACUAGGGCAGUACCCUUUAAAGAAGUCAUAAUGUAUACCAUUUAGGUACACGUAUGUAUAUAUUUGGUACCAAUAUGAACUUUUUUUGUGUGCAAAUGUGUACUUUUUGAAAGGGUAGCACCCCAGUGACAGGACCAUUUUUAUCUGACAUUGCAGAUGGAGUCACUUUUAAAUGCUUCCAACUUCAACCAUUGUACACUAGUGGGAUCUACCUUUGCAAUUCAUAUCCACCUUGUAUCAUACCUUUGUUCUUAAUUUCCUUCUUGUUGCAAAUUGCAAAAUGUUUGUUAUAUAGAUGUAAAAUUAAUAAAGAUCUGAUGUAAGUGAA
Molecule: non-coding RNA, 2212 nt
Organism: Misgurnus anguillicaudatus (oriental weatherfish)
Lineage: Eukaryota; Metazoa; Chordata; Actinopteri; Cypriniformes; Cobitidae
Source: RefSeq, a predicted model, not a curated record